CAAGCACUUGUUGCCCGCUCCGGAUCUCCCUUACCUCUGUGGAUGCUGUUGAUCCCACCCACGCUGUUGGCCUCCCAAGUCUUCCUUAGCUGGGUUGUAAAGGAAGUCGAAGGCGGUAAGGGAUCGAUCCUAACGGGGUCAAAGAGUAGGCGGAGAGAAAGAGGGAGGCAAAGAAUGCCAUGGUGAGGCGACAACGAAAUCGAAAGGGGUCGGAGGUGGUGGAGGAAUUUGGAAGCGAUCAAACGGGUCAUCCCGUGAUGAGAUCAUGGGAAAAUUAAAAUCGUCAACGGAGGAGAGGAAGACAAAAUGCCGAAAGGCGGUGGAGGAGAGGGAUAAAGGGGUCAUCCCGUGAAGGGAUUUGGAAGUCAAAAUCAUCAACAGAGGAGAGGAAAACAAGAGGAUCGAGUUUCUUACAAAUUGAUAUCUCAGAUCUGUGAAAACUAGGUGGUCUAUGAAAAGCAGCAGCCUGCGCCGGCAGCGGCGUGGCAAGCACUGCACGCACAAAGGCGACGGCAAAGCAGAUCUAAUUUAUGGACAAAAUUAUAGUUUUGUACUAGGGUUUUCCUUUGAUCAAAUUAUAACUUUACC
This 588-nucleotide long non-coding RNA is filed under the name Musa acuminata (dwarf banana). Its description in RNAcentral is "long non-coding RNA (MACU_LNC003423)". The record is from RNAcentral. Lineage: Eukaryota; Viridiplantae; Streptophyta; Magnoliopsida; Zingiberales; Musaceae.